This 253-nucleotide ribosomal RNA is filed under the name uncultured bacterium. Its description in RNAcentral is "partial 16S ribosomal RNA". It matches the Rfam family "Bacterial small subunit ribosomal RNA", at positions 524 to 776 of the family's 1533-position model. The record is from RNAcentral.
UACGUAGGGUGCAAGCGUUGUCCGGAAUUAUUGGGCGUAAAGAGCGUGUAGGCGGCCCGAUAAGUCCGCCGUGAAAGUCCAGGGCUCAACCCUGGAAUGCCGGUGGAAACUGUCGGGCUGGAGUCCGGAAGAGGCGAGUGGAAUUCCUGGUGUAGCGGUGAAAUGCGCAGAUAUCAGGAGGAACACCAAUGGCGAAGGCAGCUCGCUGGGACGGUACUGACGCUGAGACGCGAAAGCGUGGGGAGCAAACAGG